GUGACCUCAAAUCAGGUAGGACUACCCGCUGAACUUAAGCAUAUCAAUAAGCGGAGGAAAAGAAACUAACAAGGAUUCCCCUAGUAACUGCGAGUGAAGCGGGAAAAGCUCAAAUUUAAAAUCUGGCGGUCUUUUGGCUGUCCGAGUUGUAAUCUAGAGAAGUGUUAUCCGCGCUGGACCGUGUACAAGUCUCCUGGAAUGGAGCAUCAUAGAGGGUGAGAAUCCCGUCUUUGACAUGGACUGCCAGGGCUUUGUGAUGCGCUCUCAAAGAGUCGAGUUGUUUGGGAAUGCAGCUCAAAAUGGGUGGUAAAUUCCAUCUAAAGCUAAAUAUUGGCGAGAGACCGAUAGCGAACAAGUACCGUGAGGGAAAGAUGAAAAGAACUUUGGAAAGAGAGUUAAACAGUACGUGAAAUUGCUGAAAGGGAAACGCUUGAAGUCAGUCACGUCGUCCAGGGAUCAACCUUGCUUUUGCUUGGUGCACUUUCUGGUUUGAYGGGUCAGCAUCAAUUUUGACUAUUGGAAAAAGGCUCUAGGGAAUGUGGCAUCUUCGGAUGUGUUAUAGCCCUUGGUCAUAUACAAUGGUUGGGAUUGAGGAACUCAGCACGCCGCAAGGCCGGGUUUUAUACCACGUACGUGCUUAGGAUGCUGGCAAAAUGGCUUUAAUCGACCCGU
RNAcentral lists this ribosomal RNA (672 nucleotides) under Cortinarius leucopus. RNAcentral describes it as "eukaryotic LSU rRNA". It matches the Rfam family "Eukaryotic large subunit ribosomal RNA", at positions 1 to 652 of the family's 3401-position model. Lineage: Eukaryota; Fungi; Basidiomycota; Agaricomycetes; Agaricales; Cortinariaceae. The record is from RNAcentral.